Long non-coding RNA from Zonotrichia leucophrys gambelii, 2147 nucleotides. RefSeq lists it as uncharacterized. Lineage: Eukaryota; Metazoa; Chordata; Aves; Passeriformes; Passerellidae. The record is from RefSeq and is a predicted model, not a curated record. The transcript has 4 exons.
AGGGCUGUGGCUGUUUCCCUAAUUGCAGCCUAGGCAGUGCCUGCCCUGGGCACUGAGCCCUUUCUCUAGGUGUGUAACAACAUGACCCUCUCGGAGUGAAGAACCCUUGUCUAGGCAUAUACAAACCCUGCACAUGGUUUUUGUUGUGUGCCUUUCAUCACAUGCUUUAGCUGACAAUGAAGAGGAUUGACCUGAGCACGGGGUAUGGCAAGGAAAGAAGCAAUUAAUUAUAAAAUCCAUUGAACAUUUUAAAAAAUGGAGGGAUUAUUUUUAGUUUUGAGUCAGUGGCGUUGCUGGUUUCAGCGUGCUUUCAGAGUCCUGGCUCUGCUGCCAUGAACCUUCUCCUGGUGAGGUGUGAAGCAGACAUUCCUCUGCCAACCUGAAGGAAAAGGAGGAGGUGGUGGGAAUGCAGACAUACAGGUCUCCCCGUGGGAGAGUUCGCACUCGCUCCUGCAAUGCCUGAUUCCUUCAGCUGCAUGUGAUCCUGGGGUGCUGGUGGUCUUGGGGAGGGCAGCGUGUGAGCCCAGCUGGGUAUUGUGCCCACAGCCAGCACCACUCUCUGACCUUCCUCUGAUGUGGCAGUUGAUGCAGAAGCCCAGGUUUCCUUCCACGGGGUCGGAAGAGCAAGGAGGGCUGCAUGGACCAGCUGAUGCGUGUGCUGGCCAGACUCUCCCUAUCUGGCAGAAGUGACUCAUCGGUGGCAUGACCCAGGCGCUGUGAGGCUUGUUGAGCUCAGGGGGAGUUUGACUUCACAUCCUCUAUUUCCUUGAAGAUUUGUCUUUAGUCCUUGCCUUACCCCAGCCCUCAUCUGCAUUUGCUUUCCAGCCUGGGCUGAAGUGGUCUGCCCCAGAUGCCUUCCCGGUGCCAGUGGCUCCCUUGUUUUGGGGAGUGGGGUGCUGCCAUUGCAGAGCUGGAGCUGCUGCCUCCACCUGGGGCUCAUUACGUGCUGCUUCCUCUCCAGCUGCCAGGGGCCUGGACAGAGAGCAGGGAAAUCGCACGCAAGGCGCUUGUAAAACCCUCAGCCCUGUCUGCCAUUGGAGUAAGAGCUGGCUGAGCCUCCCUCCCUGCAGGACGGGCUUCCUGCCCUAGGAAAUCCCCUGCUGUAAGGCAGCCCAGCAGAUCCACCUUGGGGAUCUCAAACUGUGGCCAGUCAGCACUGGCUGGGUACAGAAUGAAAGCUAUGGGUUUUUAGAAAACUCUAAUAAAACCUUUGAUUAUGCAUAAGGAAGAAAAAAAAAAAGGCGAUCCUGCUUGCUCCCCAGCUCUGUGGUUUGCCUAAACCUACUUCCCUGGAAUACACUGGAGUUUGAUCUUUGAGAAAUGAUAUCUAAAAAGCCCACAUGUAAAAACUUAACUGUUCCAGCGAUAGGAUCAUACUCUGCCUUUGAUCCUGUAAAUUGUUGAACCACAACUCUAUUCGUUGCCCAAGGACUGCAGGAAAUGUACGCGGGGUUAUGCAAAUCCCUAGGAGAGGGAAUGUUUUGCAGGGAGGGGGGAAGAUGGCUCUGGCCGCAGCUGUCAGUCUCUGGAUGGCAGCUGAAUAGUUUGGCAGUGCCCGCGCUCUCCUGUGUCACCCCGCCGCCAGUUCCCACGGCUCCUGCCCCUCUCUGCUCACCGUCCUCCAGUUGUGCAAGUCUGCGGCGGUGAGCUUUUUUCAGAUCUCCCCCUGCGUGUGCUGGUGGCAUUUACAGGCAGAGUCUGCAAGCUCGGUCCUUCGUCUGCAUUCUUCUCCGAGCCACCACUGUGAGUGCUGUGUUCAUGUUUCGCCUCUAAAUCCCCACGACUUUUGCAGGCUGGGGAUGUUUGCAUGGGGUGGGUCAAUCUGAUGGUAAGACACAAAACAAUUUAUUUGGGAACUUUGAGGGGAGAUAAGCCUGCACCAGAGCCAAACCAAGGCAGAACAACACAACAGGGACAUGACAGCUCCCAUCUGCUGGCCUGGCAGGACUUUUAUUCUGUGUAAAAUGUGAAUUUUCCUCUUUCCCAGACUUGCAAAAGAAUAGUCAAAAGCCUUGUAAAGACGCAGGUUGGUUGUAGUGUGGGAGUACAUCCAUCAGCAACACCACAUUCAAAACAAGAGUGCUUGACAUUGUAACCACAGCUCAGGGUAACAGAUCCUGAUAAAAAAUAAAAGUAGAGGUCCUUUG